GGUUGUAAGCUGUAACCGGCAGGCCAGUCAGUGAUGCCCAAAGAAACCAGGUACUAUACAUAUAUUAACCGGCACAGAUGAAAUAUUAACAUGUCCAGAACUAGCAUCCGAUUAGCUUACGAAUUGCUCACCAGUUUGGCUCAACCGUUCCAUUCUUUUCUUUUUUUUCUUUCCCCCUAAUCGUACAUAGGGAGAAAUAAAAAGAAAUUAACGCGUUUUCUACGGCAGAACUACGCGUAGGUGAGAGUAGUAUAGUACCGACCAUUCUCUAAGCUUUUGUGCUACGAACAGAGCUACUCUUGGUGGAAGUGGAACUUCGAAAGAGUAACUUGUAGCACAAGUGGCGCUUAAUAAAAGGGAACAAGUCGUCUCAUCGACGAUCGACGUGGUAAUCGAAGUGGUAAAUUUCAACUUCAAGGUUACUAGCUUCACCGGAGCAUUCUUCCUCGGGGGAACAUUUUCUAGCAAAUAGGUCGCCGACUAUCGGUUUGCAGGACGCGUGAAACAGUUUGACGAAGGAUAAGUCGAUAGAGAGGCAGCGACUCGACGUCGCAUCGUCAAACAGCAAAGAGCAGAGAUUUCGUCGAAGGCAUCUGACCACGGAGCAGGAAAAGCAGCGACGUCUUUCGGGCGGGCUGAAGGGAACAAAGCAUCGGAGCCAGAAGGGAUGACCGCGUUGUCGCUGUAUCUUCUGCCGAAAACCAGUCGCCGUUCCCGGGAUGCCGUGGGUGAUUUUAAUUCACGAACAUCGAGCCGUGAAUAAUUCAGAACGACGAAGACGCUGCUUUCGCGUGCUGCCGGAAAAUCCGUAGCGAAUGCAAUCACCGACGAAAGCUCGCUUUAUUCUUUCUUUCUCGCUUUAUCUCGUGCCAGCUUGCGCCAGCAGCGAUCGUUGCCCGAGCAAACCUUCGAGGCGGCCAGAAUCCUCGCGAUACUUCUUGUUAAGAAUCACCUUUCGAUGGAUCUUUUUUGUCGGCGUAAAUAUCGUUAAACAUUUGGCUACGAAAGCUGUGCACUACCCCGAGGAAACAGUUUCACGGCAGUUCGAGCGCUAUGUCGCUCGUUUUCCUUCUAUUCGGCUUUCUGUAAUAUACAGCGUGUCUGCGAAAUCCCGGUACAAGCGGUCGGCUGGUGAUUGCACGUGGAAAAGCAAGCGGAGGAAAAGGAACGACAUUUUCUCGUCUAGGGUUUCGCUAGAUUUUGAUUCGCGAUCGCCGACGACGAGAAUCGGUCGGCUGCAUGUCGCCCACCUUGCGCAAAUUGAUACUCGUCGAUUAUGGUUCGAAUCGGACAACACCUGACAACAGAAGGUUCCUCGUUGUCGGUUCAACGAGCACGCGGCUUCGGCAUUUAACCGUAAGCGAAGAAAGAUUCCGCGUCGAUAGCAGAGGGGCCGUAGAAUCAUCGAAAUAUCGUAAAACAGAGGAUUUAUUCGGUUUGGAGAACAGGUUUUUCCAUCGGCCGGAAAAAUCAAGUUCCGCCCUAUCUGCAGGGUCUUUCCUCAUAGGUAAUUACCGAUACAGUCGUAUAAAUAAGCGAGUAUCCGAUCACCGAUACCCCGCGGUCGGUGAUCCGGCUAUGCCGAAGAUAACCGAGAUCGAGCCGAGAAAUUCGUUGUGUGUGGCUGUUGCACAAAAGCGAACAAGCCGAAGGAUCGAGUCGACGUACAGGAUGGAAGUAUUUUAUUAGCGCCAGGUAACGAUUAGUUGACUAGCUCGGAGACAGAAAUAAAUGCCGCGAUCGCCACGAAUCGCGCACCGUAAACUCUUCUGAAAUAUCACUCGUCUGAUAUCUGCAUUAUGCAUCGGAUAGAUAUACAGGGUGUAUCGUAACGCGUGGAAUCCGCGUCGUGAGAACGCGUGUCCUGCCUGACCUUCUUUCCAAGUUACAGCCAUUUUCGCGUUCCAGUAAUCUGCGACUGCUCGCAUAAACGCGUUAAGAACUUGCACAGAGAAGAGAGCAAGCAAACUGUAUAGGUUUAAAUAUAGCUCUUACCUACGGAACAACCCUGGCACGAGUAAGACCAUCGAGUAAACGUCGAGGGUGUUACAUAUUUUAUUAACGACAAUGCAAGUUGCAAACUGUGCAACUGGAACAAAGCGGAGACAUUGAAACAUACCGUGGUCAAUUCUCGACAAAGUACGAAUAUUACAAGUAUCUUUUCUUUUCGAGAAGAAAAGCCAAUAAAGGAUACAUACACGCGUAUAAAAUCGUGCGUGGGAUUAAGAUCUUUCUGCGUGAAAGAAUGAACAGGAAAAUAAGCCAGGCAACGCAAUAGAAGCAAACCGAACGAGGCUAAUCCGGCGAAGUAGGUAACAACAAGAGACUACAGCUUUAACGAAACAGUUUAUCCCCUGUAUAAACCUAAAACACGAUGUAUUUGUACCGUAAGUUUGUAUAUAAAUAUUACUACUAUUAUUAACCCAUAAGUUCUUAUCUUUGUAGCAGGUGUUCGAAAUGGCCACCUUCGAAGUCUGUUUACAAACUUGCUAUCGUCGCGUGAACAGAGUAAACAAAGUACCACGAUGUACGAAUGAAGAAUUACGUCAAACACGUCACAGAAAGAAAGCAGAAUGGGUCGAACGCUUGCCGAGGAACUGCCCGUGAAUGGAACGUAAAUAAAAACAGUAGGCAAAUUAGGGAGGCGAACAGAACGCGCUACUUCGUACAGAGUGUACAGUAGAGGUACAGUAUACAUCAACGCCGUAUGAAACAGAGAUGCAAUGUUGCUUGUACAUUUUUGCGACGUUAUUAAAUAGUUUCUUACUUUUA
Long non-coding RNA from Bombus huntii, 2772 nucleotides. RefSeq lists it as uncharacterized. The transcript has 2 exons. The record is from RefSeq and is a predicted model, not a curated record. Lineage: Eukaryota; Metazoa; Arthropoda; Insecta; Hymenoptera; Apidae.